CUGGUCGAUUUGGUACGCUAAGCGCCUACAAGAAGAGUUUUCCAUGUUAAAUACGAAGAAGAAAGAAAGGUCUGCCAUUUUCAUAUCUUCCCUCUGUCUCCCCUCCAUGGCUUCUACUCCUCCACAGGAAUCUCAGGUGGCUUUUCCCCUCCUACUCCUCCUCAACUAAGGUCCCAGGUGUAGCUCUAUUUUCUCCAUUUUCAUCUCCGCUGCAGAUUGGCGGAUCUCCUCCGCGACCACCACCUAAAUUUCAAUCUCUCAGAUUGAUGCCGCCCCCUUCACAGGGUCUCCAUUUGGAUAGCCUCUAUCUCACAGUCAUCACUGUGCCUCUCUAAUGGAUCUGCCAACGAUGCAAUUUGGAGUGGAUGGAACCCAACUAGAUAGCUUGACUGGGACACAACCAUCGCUAUAAGUCAAUGUACAUGGGAAAAAUCUAUUUGAGGAAUAUUGUACUGAUGUUAGAUCGAGGAAUAUUG
Carya illinoinensis is the source of this 476-nucleotide long non-coding RNA. RefSeq lists it as uncharacterized. The transcript is spliced from 3 exons. Lineage: Eukaryota; Viridiplantae; Streptophyta; Magnoliopsida; Fagales; Juglandaceae. The record is from RefSeq and is a predicted model, not a curated record.